CCUACGGGAGGCAGCAGUGAGGAAUAUUGGUCAAUGGGCGCGAGCCUGAACCAGCCAAGUAGCGUGAAGGAUGACUGCCCUACGGGUUGUAAACUUCUUUUAUAAAGGAGUAAAGUGAGGCACGUGUGCCUUUUUGUAUGUACUUUAUGAAUAAGGAUCGGCUAACUCCGUGCCAGCAGCCGCGGUAAUACGGAGGAUCCGAGCGUUAUCCGGAUUUAUUGGGUUUAAAGGGAGCGUAGAUGGUUUGUUAAGUCAGUUGUGAAAGUCUGCGGCUCAACCGUAAAACUGCAAUUGAUACUGGCAGUCUGGAGUACAGUUGAGGUAGGCGGAAUUCGUGGUGUAGCGGUGAAAUGCUUAGAUAUCACGAAGAACACCGAUUGCGAAGGCAGCUUACUAAACUGCCACUGACAUUGAUGCUCGAAAGUGUGGGUAGCAAACAGGAUUAGAUACCCGAGUAGUC
Molecule: ribosomal RNA, 460 nt
Filed under: uncultured bacterium
Lineage: Bacteria
Description: partial 16S ribosomal RNA
Rfam family: Bacterial small subunit ribosomal RNA
Source: RNAcentral